GAUGAACGCUGGCGGCGUGCCUAAUACAUGCAAGUCGAGCGAACAGACGAGGAGCUUGCUCCUCUGACGUUAGCGGCGGACGGGUGAGUAACACGUGGAUAACCUACCUAUAAGACUGGGAUAACUUCGGGAAACCGGAGCUAAUACCGGAUAAUAUAUUGAACCGCAUGGUUCAAUAGUGAAAGACGGUUUUGCUGUCACUUAUAGAUGGAUCCGCGCCGCAUUAGCUAGUUGGUAAGGUAACGGCUUACCAAGGCAACGAUGCGUAGCCGACCUGAGAGGGUGAUCGGCCACACUGGAACUGAGACGCGGUCCUGACUCCUACGGGAGGCAGCAGUAGGGAAUCUUCCGCAAUGGGCGAAAGCUUGACGGAGCAACGCCGCGUGAGUGAUGAAGGUCUUCGGAUCGUAAAACUCUGUUAUUAGGGAAGAACAAAUGUGUAAGUAACUAUGCACGUCUUGACGGUACCUAAUCAGAAAGCCACGGCUAACUACGUG
RNAcentral lists this ribosomal RNA (497 nucleotides) under uncultured bacterium. Its description in RNAcentral is "partial 16S ribosomal RNA". It matches the Rfam family "Bacterial small subunit ribosomal RNA", at positions 28 to 507 of the family's 1533-position model. The record is from RNAcentral.